GGUGCUGCAGAAGCACAGAAGUGGGGGUGAGAAGCACUGUACAGUAAGAAUGACGCUGCUUUUGAUCGGUUUUAGACAAGGAAGUUGCCACCGACGCCACGUGUGAGAACAGUUUGGAGAAUAACGUAUAGUAAACGGCGUCUGUUAGAAAUAGUAAGUUCUAAUGCAGGUUCGGUUCGUCUUUCUAAUGGCCUGCACGGUCCUGGUCGAGGAGAGGCGCUGUAAUGUAGGUCAUCGUGUUUCAUUACAACCUCUUAGGUUUCGAUUCCGGCGACGCGGAGCGGGACGAGAACGGAACCGAGCCAAGUUCCACAGAUAGAUGGCGGCCUCACAGCGACACGUGCCCUGGUAUUGUGUGGUCACGCUGAACACCACCUUGUUGGCGCCGUCGCGCAGAUUCAGCCGCUCCUGGACACAGAGGGAAGGGGAGGUGACGCGUGUUGCACCGUGGAGAAACAGGUCCAUCCAUGUUUGUUAGCAGAGGAGCGUGUGUGUUUGUGUGAGUUUACAAUCUGUUUGGAGGUGAGGCGCAGGGAUUUGCGAUACAUCUGGCUGAGACACUGAGUGGCGCUAAGAGUUUCCGCUGACACGUUGGGAGGGAGGGUGGCUUUACGGCCCAGACCUGCGGCCUCAUCGCUGUCGACGUCAUCCAGUGUCGCUCUGGGGAAGCAACGAAGCAAUUAAUCCAGCCAUCGUUUGCAUCUUCCUUUUAAGGUUUGCUGUUUGAGAUCAUUUAUUAGAGACAACUCACUUCACUGAUGCUUGUGGCUUCUCUUCUCCUUCCUUUGUGGUUUUGUGCUAAAAACACAAGGUUAUUUUAUAGGAGCAACCCAAAGAUACCAUCACGGUGUCAACUAUGGUUUUCAAAUAAAAAAAAAUACUAUGAGCAGCAGAGGUAAAUGAAUGCAAAUGAACGGUUACAUUGUAUAAACACAUUUCUUUUCCUUCUUCACAUCAACAUAACUCAGUGAACAACCUGAGUGUCUGCACGGUGGUUUUCCAUGUCUCUCCUCCUCCAGAACCACCAGCGGCCAGAUUUCUUGGGCAUCUUGUCCUUCACUAAUCGCUCUAUUGUGCUCUGUUUGGCACAAAAUGAAACAAAUGUAUUAACAGACAUAAUCACAGUAUUUGCACUUCUGGCUACACUCACCAGCUCCACACCUUGUACGAGCUCAGACAAAAACUUUACUGCAACUUUAGAUUCUUUCAUUAAUGUAAAAGAACCAGUCUCUCUGAAUAUCUAUGAACGAAUAGCAGUGCUGUCAAAUGUGCACUGAAAAAAAGCUUUAGGAGUUACCUUCAUAAUAAAGUAAGACAGUAAAACAAAGUACCUUAGGAAGGUUUUUCUGGAAAGCUGACAUUGACAGAACCACUGGAGCAGCUACAGCCCAGUUGUAAUAGCUGCAAAAUCAAUGAAGGUCAACUCGUUAACACACUGUUGGAAAUGCACUGUUCUACAUCCAGUCUUACUUUUUGAAGGCUUACUUGGAGUUGAUGCAGAUGACGAGAUUAGGAUCUUCAAUGAUUCCUGGAUUUUUGGCAAAGUCCUGGUACGUCACAAGGUGUUUCAGAAACUUUUCUGGAGAAAGAGCCCAACGUAACGCGACGGCUGACGUAACGAUGAGAGACGGACAGAAAUCCGCCGGCGCUCACCUUUGGUGAUCUGACUGGUGUCGCCCUCCUGGCCGCACAGGGACAUGCUGACGUCCACGUUGUAGGAGGUGGAGUCGGACAGGUACUCGGUUCCACUGUCCAUGGCGCCGCUGCCCACCGACUGAGGCGACUGGCUCUCUGAGCAGGAGCCGUGCUCUGCUGCCAGCGCCACGGCUCCCUCUGAGUCACUGCAGCCGCAGGAGACACGCAAGGUCAAUUCAUUGGAAUAUAUCUUCACAUAUCAUUCCAUGUCAGUUUUGAUUAUUUUAAUAAAUGUGGCAUUCAUAAUAAUAUUGUGUGUGUGCCAUCUAACCUCUUUGGGAAGUACAGCGCAGCCAUCUCUGGAUCUAGAGUGGUCAGAUCAUCCAAGUAAAUAUCUGUAGGUCCUAGAUGGUGGUUACGUCUCGCUGCGACUGAUCGACACAUAAAAUGUGAUGCACCAAAUUAAGACUAAUGCUUUGUAACAGAGAAAAAGCAGAAUAUACAGAAAUAAUUGCAUGCUUUACCUUUCCUCUUGCCCUGGUGUCCCACUUUGGACGGCGCCUCCGGUGCGUUCCCUACAACGUCGGGGGCAGUCCUGCUGUCCCCUGCAGCUCUCAUCUCAACCUUUACGGCAGCCUUGCUGGUCAGCGAGCCCCCGUCUGAUCCACGCAUAACGGGAUGUUCACUGCCCUCCUCCCCUCCCUCAGCACAGGGAUCUAUCCCACUGUCGCCCUCGCUGAGUAGGACGCUGCUGCCUAAAGCCUGGUACGUUGACUCCGCGCUACCUGUGCAUGUUGUGGCUGUGCGCUCUUCCCUGUGUUGUGAGGGCUGUUCCUCUUCGUUGUCUAGCUUGCUAACACUGACCACGCUACCUGUGCUAACUGUGUUGUUUUUGUCAUCAAAGUCCUUAUAAUUAAUCAGACUAGCAGAAUUAGAAGGCGAGUCUCUGUCUUGUGCCGUUAAUGUUGAUUGAAGCUCUGGUGCGGCGUUUACGUCAGUCUUAACAGGAUGAUGAGUGGGAGGGUCGUCGUCCGCUGAAUUCGUAUUUGGCAUCGUACGACUGUCUGGGUCUGGCCUGGGAGUCCGCGGCUGCGGCCUGAUCACGGUUACGCUGCCGACUCGGCCACAGCUGAUGACGGGCUCCAAAUCCAACUCAAAGGAUUCCUGUCUCUGUAUGGUGCGAAAGUGAGAAGUGCCCGAAGGGGUGAUGUGCUGCACCUCCACCGGCGUCCUCUCCGACGAACACAGCUGCAAAAAUGACGUUAAAGGAUCCACACUAUUAGACUGUACAAGCACAGUGAUAGAGUUUGCCUGUGUGAGGUGUCAUACCAUAGGAAAUCCACCCCAGUUCCACUGUAUCUGGGGCCCAGACGACUCCUGGGUUCUCACCAAAAGCUCAGAGUCACUCUUGGGAGAGGAUGAUCGGCUAUAAAACACAGUGCUGUGAGGGAAGAGACAAAGGCAGGGAGAGAAACCAUGAAACGUACGAUCAGACGGCCACGGUGAAAGAAAUGAAUGACCUAACUGACCUUUCUAAGGGCGACUGCUCUCCGUCUGAGUGUGGAUGAGUGUCCCAGCUCGUGGCCUCCACCUCAUUAUUAGUCUCCUCAGACAUGUUUUAGCCACAGACCUCAUUUGCAGUGACGUCACGUGCUCCUCCUGAGCAGGACUCUCCUGUCCGGGCUGAUCGCCAUCUCUCUCCCACUCGUCCUUCUCCCUCUCCCUCUCCUCCGACGAGGAGCUGGCGUCUUCCCUCAGGUGAGUAUCAGAGCGCAUGCGUUUGCGCCGGCGCUUCUUCCGGCGGGUGCCAGAGCCGCCACUGAAGGACCCCUCAGGAGCCUCCGGCAACACCUCGGGGAACUCCAGGGUAAGCGGGGAUGUGCACAGAUGGGCUGGGACCUGGGACAGAAACACGAACAGACUGUUUUACACAUGAACAGACUAUUCAAAAUGUAUUUUUAAAAAGGGAUCCAAACGCUUGCGAGUGUGUCUUACCACCAUGUUUUCAUUUUCCUCCACAAAAAAGGCUUCUCCAUUGUCACCCAACUUCAUGUGCAGAUCAACUGCUUCUCCAUUUAUUUCAAUGUCCACCUAAAAUCACAAUAUUUCAUAUGUAUCUAUGCUAAACCAAGAAAGAAUGGAUGACUGUGUGAAAAGAGUCAAACGCACAACUUUCUCCUUGGAUCGCAGCACGCCCAGCUUCCCAAAGCGAACGUGAAAAGGAGAGCACUGGAAGGAGCCAUCCGGCUGUCGCACCACUAUGACGUCGAUGCCCCCGGUGAGCGUGGCGGGGUUGAGACCACGGUACAGCUCCUUCACGGUCACAAACACCGUCUCUGCCAGUUGGCCCACAAUGUUCAUGGUUUGGGACUGGGAACAAGAAGAGACACCAGUGAAACAGGAAGUGGUUGUUAGAAUCUUGACUUUCACAAGGUCAGCAGUCCCCGUGUAGCAUUGAUGAAAUCAGUUAUAGGUAUGUGAUAGUUACAGGUUUACUCUCAGCACAGUGGUACAGAAAUGAUACGUAAUGUACAAAUCUAAAAAAAAAUGUUCAGUAUUUCUGUGGUUCCAAUGUUUCCACAAAACAAUAUCAACCUCUAGUCUAAGUAUGUGUACAGAGUAAAAGUCUACAGCUGGUUGGGAAAAUAGGAUAUUCAUUCAUACACAUCUGAAACCGUGUCAUUAGUAAACAAAAAUAAUUCAAAUUUAACACUUUUCUCAAAACAAACAAAACAUACACUGGUGGAGAAAACCACCUUCACAGUAAAUUCAGCUUCACAAUCAAACCAAACAAAUGAAUCAAAUGUAUAUGUAUAAGUACAACGACCUCACUGUUUGGACAGGAACCAAAUUAAGCACAUUUCAAAAGAAUCCUAGAACAUUUGAUUAUCUUUCAUUCAGUGCACCUCAAAGCGUGUCUGUUCAGAGCACACACCACCAAACUCGUGUCUUACCCACAGUGAAGGAUGCAGGAGUUCCUUCCCAACCAACCUGUGCUGCCUGGACCACCUCUCUGCCAUGUGCCACCGCUACAAAGGCUUUUCCCCCCACAGAAGCUCAGGGACAGUCUGAAGAAAUGUCACGUCCAUUUCCCCCAAACAACACUCCAACACGAACACUCGGCUGCCGCACAAGUCUUCCUGCUCAAAUCCUCUAGUAUCUGUAGCCUAAAGACUACAUUUUGUUAACUCUACAAAAAAAACCUAGUGAAACAAAACCUCCUCCUGAAGUCAGGCUCAACUGGCAACGCUCUAAUCCUUAAUGAUGUGAAAACCCUGGUAAAUUCCGUUAGUAACGUUCCGUCUCUCUCCAACACAAUUUGACAAGCUCACAUACUUCCUCACUUGCGCUGCACAUGACAGCCAGACCAGCAGUUUCUAAAAGGCUUGGACAGGCUAUUCAAACACGCUUGGCAUGAAAACGCGCGCGCGCGCACACACACACACACACACACACACACACACACACACACACACACACACACACACACACACACACACACACACACACACACAGACCGAUGGGCCACAGUUUCUGGGCUUGACCACAGCUCUCUGGGCCAUCGAACACGAAGGGACUCUCCAACGGCCCGGCUCCAGCGACGCUGGUCUGUCCCUCACAGGCCAACUGGGAGGAACUGGCAAAUAAGUGAAUUUAAUGGCUAUUACUGCCAGCGAUGGCCGCGGGGAAGGACAUGACACAAAGGUAGGCUUCAGGGGAAAACAGUGUCUAAUGGGAAGAGAUAUCGGAGUUUAAAUUACAAACCAGCUCUGCUACUGUAUGUAGUAAAAAAACUAAAGGGCAGGACUGAUCCAGUGCUACAACAUGUCGCCAUUGUUUGCGUUAUUAAUGUGCAGAACGUGUAAUCAGGAAUCAGUCAUCUGCUGGUGUUUCAUCGCUGGAUGACAUCAUCAUCGUGCCACAUACACACCUCGGUUUCUCAGUCUGACUGGACUCUUCUUGGCUUUUGUUGACCUUUGCCUCCAGGGAGACGUGGUCACAGAGCUCACACCACGUGGACGCAGGGCAUUCAUCAUGUAUUAGAGCGCUGCAUGUCUAUUAUGUCACGUUUUACGUAAUAAUCAUCCCAUUUAAUGGAGUGUUUAUUUUCACCAAGAGAGCCGAUCUGACAAGACCUUAAUAAAUUAAAAGUUAAAUGA
Betta splendens (Siamese fighting fish) is the source of this 5795-nucleotide long non-coding RNA. RefSeq lists it as uncharacterized. The record is from RefSeq and is a predicted model, not a curated record. The transcript is spliced from 3 exons. Lineage: Eukaryota; Metazoa; Chordata; Actinopteri; Anabantiformes; Osphronemidae.